Mangifera indica (mango) is the source of this 2350-nucleotide RNA transcript. It is a transcript of the gene named CASP-like protein 5A2, with no coding region annotated. NCBI's taxonomy places the organism in Eukaryota, Viridiplantae, Streptophyta, Magnoliopsida, Sapindales, Anacardiaceae. The record is from RefSeq and is a predicted model, not a curated record. The transcript is spliced from 5 exons.
GUACCUCAUCACUUAUUUUAUUCCAAAUUUCCCCUCAUCACUCAUUUAACACUCUCAUUUCCCGUCGUGGACGCUCUGCCUCUAAAUUCGUUGAUAGAGCGGAGAAGAGAAGAUCAGAUUGACAAAGCCUAGCAUGAUAGUUUAAUCGAGCAUGUCAAAGCCUCUGCCAUAUUCAAUGAAAGUGUUCGUUAUGAUUACGCAAAGUUUCGUCACUGAUCUUUCUUCUAGGACCUUGACAAACCCUGUGGAGCUCAUAAAAUGCUUGAGAUCCAUUAAAGAGAAUGUUUUUUCUACAUCUAGGUAUCCUGUUAUAAUUACUCUUGAAGACCACCUGACACCAUAUCUUCAGGCUAAAGUAGCUAAGAGUGAUAGUGAUUCAAGUGAAGAUGAUGUCGAUGACCAAGGGAGCCUUUCAGAAGCAUCUGACUAAAGGAGCCUAAUUGUCAUUCAUGUUUAAAACUAAGCGCCUUUGUUCAAGAAGUUUUGCUAUGUCAGGUUCCUCGUUGCUGCAGCUGGCUUGCAGAGUUUGUUGAGCCUUUCUCUGGUCAUUGUACACAUUUAUGCCCUUCUGAUGAUGCAAUCCUUGCAGAAUAAUCGAAUUGUUACUUUGUUUGCUAUUGGUGAUGAGAUAACAUCUACUCUUACAUUUGCUGCAGCAUGCGUGCAUCUACGGGUACCACCCUACUUGCAUUUUGUGUUUCUAUUGUUUAUUCUAAUAAACCAUAAAAUGGCUUCUAUAGAUUGACGUUAUGACAUAGUGAACUUAGAAGGAUUUUGUCAAAUACUAUCGAGCUUAAGGACUUGUGACAUUUUACAAAAAUAUUUGGUUGUUUGGUAGGAUUUUUUUUUCUGAUUAUUAAUUUGGUAGGAUUGACAUUAUGGCUAAUUCGAUUUAUUUUGAUUUCCUUUACUUUGUUUGAUGAUUAGUUUGUAAGAAAAAAAAAGUACAACUUAUAAUAAAUUUAUGAGUCGGAGUCAUUAACACAUGACUUUGAAUAAGCAUAUAAUAAAUUUAUGAGUAAUGUUAUGUGCACAACAUAUACAAAUAUUUUAGAGAUUUGUAAUCAGAAUGUCUUGUGAUCAACACAAACAAUAGACCCAUUGGGAAACAAGAAAAGACUUUUUAUAAAAACCUAGGCAAAUGUAGACAUUUCGACUAUUAGAUUGAACUAAAUUAAAAAUCUCGUGUCGUCUUGUUGCAUUCAUUUUCUCCCAUUUAUACUAUAAUUUCAUUUUCUCCCCAACUGUGACUGCAUGGCUGUGACUCCUCGGAGAUACUCCUUCAAACUGUGCGACCUGGGUAUGCCAUGAAGCUCAUUUCUUAAUUUCAAUGGUGCCGACUUCCGUCUCCUGAUUCUUAGUUUCGUGCCCACCUUUUUGUAGGAAAUAGGGAGAAGAGGAAGCUUAGUAAUCAUGUCCAUUUUUUUUUCCACACGCAGGAGAUGAAGAUUGGUGAGAGCAUUGAACACUUUCCUGAAUCCUUUGUUUCCAACCUUGGGGCUGGCAAAGACGAAGGCUGUGACCAUGCAUGCUUUGUCCGAACCUGUGCGCUUGUUGUAUUGAUUAGCGACUAUAUCAGUUGCGCUCAAUGUUGCAAGAGCUGCACCCAGACUGUGACCUGCUACAGUUAUACUAAUUUCCUCUGUCCUGUACUUGGGCUUGUUCACCAGUUUCUUAAUAGCGUUCAACACCUACAUAAAAAUGGUCAUAAUAGAAAUUCAUAGGAAGAAAGUUUACGGAUGGCUUAAUAUGAUUGAGUAGACGUAGACUAGUUUUAAGGUUUAUUGCAUAUUUGAUAUAGAGUCAUAACCAACCGUAUAUUCCUAUUUCCGAAGCCCAGACAAUAAUUUUAUCCAUGGGGAGGUUUUGUGAGAGAAAAUACGUUCACAACAAUUCAGGGUAAUUUUAGGAAAUCUGUUGAUUCCAAAAACAUGAUACGCAUACAUUCUUGUAACCUUAAACUAAUUUAAUUGAAUAUGUUUAAACUAAUUCUACCCAACUUGUGAGUCAAACUGAGUCAAACUCUCUCUAGUUCGAGUUUAGUUCAAUUUAAAAAAUGAGUUGAACUUUUUGACUUGAAUUCAGUUUGAAUUCAAGUUAAAUAAAUUUGAAUCCAGCUAACCAGAAUUUUGAGCCAGAGCUAGUGCAGAUCAGGUCCAAUCCUAUGAAUAUACUAUGGAUUGGAUUGAUUAUAUUUUGUCCAACCCUAUGAAUGCACAAUGGAUUGGAUUGAUUUUUUAACUCUUUUGUCAAUAGAGGUGGAUUCCAGGAAAUUUGUGGAUUCAUAAAGCAUAACAUUCAAGUAUUCUUGUAACCUUAAACUAUUUUAAUUCAAUGUUUUUAUAACCUA